CGGCAGGGAGUGGUGCCGGGCGCUUCCGCCCCACGCCCCGCCGGCUCCGAGCAAGCUCCGCACGAACGUGAACCCCGCGGCUUCCUGCGGCGGAUGGGGCGGGCGGCGGCCGUGCAACCGGGGCGGGACCCCUCGCUCCGCCCCUCGUACCGAGCUACUACAGCAGCCCCGAGCACGGGAAGGGUUUCCGUAUGGAGUGUAAUGAGCUUUAGGUGCCUGUGCAUUUUCUUGCCUUGUGGGUCAUAUUCUCAGUUGCUGAAUCCACGGUUAUUGUCAAAAAGGCAGUCAGAAACUCCCUGGAGGUUUUUCCAAAGUGAGUAAGGUGACCUCCUAAUCUGGGAGCCAUGAACUUUCUCUAACACUCACAGAGUACGCUGUGACAAAUGAAAAGGUGUAUCUUGAUUUUUAUGAAUGCUUAGAGUAGUAAACAUAAGUAGAGCUAUUGGAACAUUUUAUUUGCAAUAUUAGAAGCUCUGUAAGUUUUAAAAAAAUAUAUUUCUAUAGAAAUUUGACAAUAUUCCACUGAAAUGUUAAAAACGCCCAAUGGGAAAUCUUUCUCAUUUUUACUAGUAGUCUGAAGCAUUCUGCUUCCAAAUAAUGUUGCAUAUUUUUUGAGAGCUGUCUUUAAUAAUACU
RNAcentral lists this long non-coding RNA (635 nucleotides) under Numida meleagris (helmeted guineafowl). Its description in RNAcentral is "lncRNA (ENSNMEG00000014688.1)". The record is from RNAcentral. Lineage: Eukaryota; Metazoa; Chordata; Aves; Galliformes; Numididae.